Molecule: non-coding RNA, 23 nt
Filed under: Arabidopsis thaliana (thale cress)
Lineage: Eukaryota; Viridiplantae; Streptophyta; Magnoliopsida; Brassicales; Brassicaceae
Source: RNAcentral
CUGGUUGCUGUCGCUGGUCGCUG